CCUACGGGUGGCAGCAGUGAGGAAUAUUGGUCAAUGGACGAGAGUCUGAACCAGCCAAGUAGCGUGAAGGAUGACUGCCCUAUGGGUUGUAAACUUCUUUUAUAUGGGAAUAAAACGUUCCACGAGUGGGAUUUUGUAUGUACCAUAUGAAUAAGGAUCGGCUAACUCCGUGCCAGCAGCCGCGGUAAUACGGAGGAUCCGAGCGUUAUCCGGAUUUAUUGGGUUUAAAGGGGGCGUAGGUGGAUUGUUAAGUCAGUUGUGAAAGUUUGCGGCUCAACCGUAAAAUUGCAGUUGAAACUGGCAGUCUUGAGGACAGUAGAGGUGGGCGGAAUUCGUGGUGUAGCGGUGAAAUGCUUAGAUAUCGCGAAGAACUCCGAUUGCGAAGGCAGCUCACUGGACUGCAACUGACGCUGAGGCUCGAAAGUGUGGGUAUCGAACAGGAUUAGAUACCCCAGUAGUC
RNAcentral lists this ribosomal RNA (460 nucleotides) under uncultured bacterium. Its description in RNAcentral is "partial 16S ribosomal RNA". It matches the Rfam family "Bacterial small subunit ribosomal RNA", at positions 338 to 795 of the family's 1533-position model. The record is from RNAcentral.